This is a non-coding RNA of Anas platyrhynchos (mallard), 4926 nucleotides long. The record is from RefSeq and is a predicted model, not a curated record. NCBI's taxonomy places the organism in Eukaryota, Metazoa, Chordata, Aves, Anseriformes, Anatidae.
GGCUCGGAGGGGCAGAGCGAGGCGGUUACGGUCCCUUCAUUCCGUUCCCCCACCCUCCUUUUCACUAGGGCUAUUCUCGGAAUGCUGUUAUGCCACGCGCCGCUCGCGCAGCCCAGCGAGCGCUGCGUCGCCUCGCGCUUCCUCUGCACGCCCGCUCACGCAGUUGGCGUGGGAGGAUCCGGGGCCGCUCCCUCACGCUGAAUCCCUGCUGAGGAGACCCCGCCUGGGGAUGGCGCCGGGCUCUUUCCCCUCACAAAGGAGCGCUCGGGACCCUACUGAGGAUCUCCGCCGCGUUCACGGAGCCGCCACCCAUCUCCCCUCACAGCUCGGCGGGAAGCGGUGGCGGCUUCGGGCCCGCCUUGCCGCCCCUCAACGCCGGGGGACAGCGGGCAGCCCUCGGGGGAAAAAGGCGAUUUCCUGAGGCAGGUGUGAGCCCUGCCGCCGGGACGGAGGAGGGAAGGGGCUGCCAAGGCAUUCAUCCUCGCCGCCAAGUCUCGCCUCUCUGGCCAUCGGCGGGGGAUGACUUGGCGCGCACGUCCCAGCAGCGAAUGAAAACGCGUUUAAAAAUAAAUAAAUAAAUAAAUACUGUUUGAAGGCAGCUGUUGGCCAGAUAAAAUCCUGCCAGGAGAUGAAUGCGCUGAAAAUCACACUGCCAAGACAGUGUUUGGGCUGGGCUGGGGUGGUGCUGAGACCCUAAAGUGGCUCCUCAGGAGCACCCACACCAGUCAGGGCAAACUCGGUCAUGGUGGAGAAGUGAUCCUGGAAAAGCAUGCACACUAACAGAGGAAAAAUCAAACAAACAAACAAACUACUUUUGCCUUUCCUGUUCAACUAUGUACCUCAAUGUUGUAUUUCCUUUAUAUACUCGGGGCAUCUCUUUGGAGCCAUUUAAACUCUUUGUAAGUUUCAUGCUCAAACUGCAUAGUGGAUACCUAUAUUUAUGAUGUGUGAUUUGAAACAUAACACGCUUUCUUUUGUGUUAGGGAUUUCUGAGCAUGGUCUGUGCCUUGCCUUUUUCACGAGACACAGUACGUUUCACUAGUACAAAAACAAAACAAAACAAAAAAAGGUACUCACCAAAAUGAGAAAAAUACUCAAAUUUGUUGUAUCUAUGGCUUAAUUCCUUUCUGCUGUUAUUAAAGGUACAUUUUAAGAGCAUGACCUGGUACUAGAAGGAUGAAAGCAGCAACUUCCAUUUCAGUUGUCAAAAGUGAAGAUGGCAGUAAUACAGUAUUUUUGUAGGUAGGCUUGUAGCAAGGCAGAAAGGAGCAGCAAUGAAGACGCUAAGAUGGUCCUUGGUUCAUUUUUGGCUUCCAGAAAUUCUUUCUAAUAUCUUACUUGACUUUUUCUGGUGUAUUUGAUAAGCAAGUACUUUUCACAGCAACAGUGAGAAAUGCAUCAUUUUUUUCAGAAAGAUAUGCAGCCCUGCGCAAUGUGGUUCAGCACUGUUUAAGAACUGGAAGUGUUACAAUGUACUGUGGUUCUUGGAUGCCCAAGGGAAAGAGAUUUUUAUUAUCAUUGGUCACAGGACUGCCAAAUGUUAUCUCAUAAAUCUGUGUCUUUCACAAUGGAUGAGGUAAGGAAUAACCUUUUUUGCAUUCUGGUUGGUUUAGGUGGUAAUGUCCAUGGCAAUGAGAUACAGCUGCAUUGCUUUCAUGGUUAUCUGAAUACCAAAAAGAGACAUUUUUACAUCACAGAAGUUGUUCACUGAAUACAGAAUAUGGUCCCCACAGCUCUCCCAUAAAAAUACAUUGCGGGAAAACAAACAAUGUGAGUAAUACUUGUUUUCUUCUUGUAGCACAGGCUUCAAAUUCCUCAAAAAAUGUUUUUUGGUCUUCAGAUAUGCUGAGAAAAUGGCUGAGGUAUGUAACUGUUGGGGAUCUCUUUAAAAAGUGACUUUUAAAGUAAUUUUCUUGUACUUCAUGGAUUGAUCAUUGGGAAAAAACAAACAAACAAAAAAACAACAGUGAGCUUGCACCUUUGAAAUCUACUGCAAAACUGGCACAGACUUAAUAAGGAAGCAAGAUGCAAGCCAGUGGGUUUUAUGUGAGGUUAAUGUCCCAUUUUUCUGUGUUGUGAAUAGCUGGGGGGGGGAGGUCUCUUUUCAUACGGUAAUUUAUGGGGUUAGGAAGAUUCUGCAAAAUUGUGUGCAUUUUGAGAAGAAAUGAAACAAAUGCAAAUGGGUCCCUGAGGUUGAAAGAAUACUGUGUUCAGUGUAAGAUAUAACAAAUUCAACCUUUUACAUUCCUGCGGUGAUCUGCUGUUCUGCCUUCAAAAAGAACAGGCUUCCCUAAAUCAUCACCAAACUUUGAAGAAAUGAACUCAGCAAGUAAAUUUCAAGACUCUUCAGAUUCUAUGUAAGUUGAUUUUUGAAAGAAGAUGCAAUUUUAUUACUUUUUUUUUUUUGGUGAAAUUAGUAAAACAUUUUGCAAGGUUAAAUACAGAGCGCUACCUGCCAUAAUGCAGAACCAGUUUGUGUCCUUCUUGUCCUCAGAUACAGAAACAAAACCCACUCACCUUAUUUACAAAAUGUACUGACUAGGGUUGCUGCCAGGUUGGUUCCCAGCCAGCCUAGCCAGUUUUCAUGUCUUCUUGCCAAUGAGACAUAUGAAGACUACUUUGUUUUGUUUUGUUUUGUUUUUUAAUGCAAGCAGAUGUGACUCACUAGGUGAACCAGCUCCAGCAUGGGAUGUGUUAGAAUUACGGCACAUGUGCCCUGCUGCCUUACUCCUGCAUGGCAACUGCAGUGCCUCCUGUGUUUGUAGGGUACAAACAGUGCGUUUCCAGACUGAAUCGUGCUUGCAAUGCGUGCAGCACCCUUCUGAGCUCCUGUGCAACUCGAGCAGGCCUUUGCACACCAAGCUUUCAUUUGCCAAAACAAUCAGUACGGUUAUACCACAUGGGUGGAAGUCCCAAACUCCCAUUCCCAAAAACAAUCUAGCUCUUUCAAGACACGAGGCUGAGGAUACUCAACAGUAAAUAAUAAGCACAGUAUCCUCCCUCAAACCCAUCCUUAAAUCUCAGCUUCAUGGUGAUGCCUAUCAAGAUCUUGACUGCUCUUUGACCACUGCUUGUCAUGCUGACCAGUAGUGUCUUCUGUCUUUACACUCUGUUCCCUCCUAGACAUCUGUUGCCUUGGAUGAUUUGGAUGAUUGGAUGAUUUCUGUGUAAAUACUCUCAUUCUGCUUUGUUCCCUAGCACAAGAAACAGACCAAUACAAUGGUAAUACAAAGAGCAACAAUAGUAUGAGGCAUCUGGUGUUACAUCUGAUUGGGCCCUGAUGUCUCAUCUGUCAGCCCUUUCCUAUUUUGAGAUGUGCAAACUGUAGGACCACUGGUGUGAGUAAAGGCUUCCAGAACCAGGCCCACAGCUGCUCUGUAUUCAGAGAAGGGCUUUCACCAAACAGAAACCCCUUGCUAACUCCAAAGCCGCACAAUAACCUGCUAUCCCAACUAUUCCCAGUGCUGCCACCAUAGCUGUCGUCUUUGGCUGCUACCUAUAACAUGAUCCUAGGAACAUGCGAAUGAAACAACAUCAAAUGUGCCUCUCUGGGCCCCCUCCUUAAGUCCCACUGUUUGCUGGUUAAAAAAUGCUCUGCAGCACUAAGAAAGAGCUACGUUCAUCAGCAAAUGCUUAUACAACGCUGUCAAAGUUCCACACACAGGCUUCUAUUAAACAAUUGCUAUGGGAAAAAUACAGCAUCUCUUGUUUUGUAGUGUGUUUACUGUAUCGUCCUGGUAUACAUCCAUUACUUCAAUUAUCUGAAGAAAGAGGCUUUGAUAGAUUAUGACCCAGUGAUGUGAUCCUUGUGAGAGGCACACACAUGCACUGAUUGUUGAAGAUAGAAAAUGGUUGUUUUGUGCAGUCAUGGUUGUGUAGUGGAGAAUAUAGAUCAGUAGAAGCAGGAAGGCAGCCUAGCCCUUAGCCUAGCGCUCGCAGAAGGCGAGUCAGUGAACAGGCAGAUCAUGAGAUAGAUUUCCUACUCCAGAGAGUCGGAGCCCGAAGCAAAUGCCCCUCUCCCCUUUCCUCCCCUCCACUGGCAGGCAGGACUGACUGCUGGGAGGACCAGAAGCAAAGCGUGCAGCACGUGGCCGGUAAUUCCAGCUCUCUGUUUGUUUAUUUGUUAAUAAGUAAGUCCCACUUGGGCUGGGCAGGUCUCGGUGAAUCCUUAAGAGACUUUCUGCAUACCCAGGUGUGUAAUCAUUAAUGCCCAGCACUGCAGCCAAGCGCACACCCCAGCGAAUCGUUGUGCCUGAGCAGAGUCCUGAGGGCGCAGAGGGUCUGCACACCCCGACACCUUGGGACAGCCCCGGCUGCCUGUUUGCAUUAGCAAAUGCUCCCUACUGUGGUAGAAGAGAAAGAAGUUGGAAGGAACCACAGUGUUAGGCUGCUGACUCAAUUCCGGCAGCAACACCAGGUGGGUCCGACUGCUUUACGCCCAUCAGAGGAAAGAGAGAGCUCCUCUGAAAUGGAGAGGGCAGGAAAUCGGGAUGGGGGAUUCUCAGAACAGCCAGCCAAAGCAAGCUGGAAGACCUAUUCUGAUACAAGUCAACACUUUGUUUUCUCUCAUGGAGGAAAUCAAACAAAAGCAAUUGCAAUAAGAGACUAAAUCCAAUCAGAAACUACCUGGUAUGUUUUGUGUCAGUUUGCAAUGAAAACUCCAGCUGUCUCCAGGUGGUACAAAAAUUUGUGAUUAUUACAAUUCUGCUUUUCUGAUUGCUGACUGGGAAAACACUAACGCCUAAUUUCUAUUUGUGCACAUUUUUGAAAGAGCAGUGCGUGCUAGUGACUAAUGCACCUCUAAGGCAAAGUACUGAUCUGAAACAAUGUUCUUGUAAUGCAUUUUUGUGUACAGAAAUUCCUGUUGCUGCCUAUCACUGCCAAAUUUAUUAUGGCUGAAAAAAAUAAAUCAGAUUAGCCACAAAA